RNAcentral lists this ribosomal RNA (586 nucleotides) under uncultured bacterium. Its description in RNAcentral is "partial 16S ribosomal RNA". It matches the Rfam family "Bacterial small subunit ribosomal RNA", at positions 355 to 1375 of the family's 1533-position model. The record is from RNAcentral.
UGGGGAAUUUUGGACAAUGGGCGAAAGCCUGAUCCAGCAAUGCCGCGUGUGCUGAAGAAGGCCUUCGGGUUGUAAAGCACUUUUGUCCGGAAAGAAAUCCUUGGCUCUAAUACAGUCGGGGGAUGACGGUACCGGAAGAAUAAGCACCGGCUAACUACGUGCCAGCAGCCGCGGUAAUACGUAGGGUGCAAGCGUUAAUCGGAAUUACUGGGCGUAAAGCGUGCGCAGGCGGUUUGCUAAGACCGAUGUGAAAUCCCCGGGCUCAACCUGGGAACUGCAUUGGUGACUGGCAGGCUAGAGUAUGGCAGAGGGGGGUAGAAUUCCACGUGUAGCAGUGAAAUGCGUAGAGAUGUGGAGGAAUACCGAUGGCGAAGGCAGCCCCCUGGGCCAAUACUGACGCUCAUGCACGAAAGCGUGGGGAGCAAACAGGAUUAGAUACCCUGGUAGUCCACACCCUAAACGAUGUCAACUAGUUGUUGGGGAUUCAUUUCCUUAGUAACGUAGCUAACGCGUGAAGUUGACCGCCUGGGGAGUACGGUCGCAAGAUUAAAACUCAAAGGAAUUGACGGGGUCAUAGCUGUUUCCU